GUUUUAAUAAUUUAACAAAAAUAUUGGUCUUGUAAACCAAAAAUAAGGACGCAACCUUUUAAAACU
Molecule: transfer RNA, 66 nt
Filed under: Heterotermes convexinotatus
Lineage: Eukaryota; Metazoa; Arthropoda; Insecta; Blattodea; Rhinotermitidae
Also listed under: 1 other name
Description: tRNA-Thr
Rfam family: tRNA
About the family: Transfer RNA (tRNA) molecules are approximately 80 nucleotides in length.
Source: RNAcentral